GAGGGUAUAGCUCAACUGGUAGAGUGCAUGCUUUGGAUGCACGAGGUCCUGGGUUUAAUCCCCAGUAUCUCCU
RNAcentral lists this transfer RNA (73 nucleotides) under Camelus ferus (Wild Bactrian camel). It matches the Rfam family "tRNA". From Rfam's summary of the family: Transfer RNA (tRNA) molecules are approximately 80 nucleotides in length. Lineage: Eukaryota; Metazoa; Chordata; Mammalia; Artiodactyla; Camelidae. The record is from Rfam by way of RNAcentral.